Molecule: ribosomal RNA, 253 nt
Filed under: uncultured bacterium
Lineage: Bacteria
Description: partial 16S ribosomal RNA
Rfam family: Bacterial small subunit ribosomal RNA
Source: RNAcentral
UACGGGGGGGGCAAGCGUUGUUCGGAAUUAUUGGGCGUAAAGAGCGUGUAGGCGGCCAGGUAGGUCUGCUGUGAAAACUCGAGGCUCAACCUCGAGACGUCGGCGGAAACCAUCUGGCUAGAGUCCGGAAGAGGAGAGUGGAAUUCCUGGUGUAGCGGUGAAAUGCGCAGAUAUCAGGAAGAACACCCGUGGCGAAGGCGGCUCUCUGGGACGGUACUGACGCUGAGACGCGAAAGCGUGGGGAGCGAACAGG